RNAcentral lists this ribosomal RNA (468 nucleotides) under uncultured bacterium. RNAcentral's name for it is "partial 16S ribosomal RNA". It matches the Rfam family "Bacterial small subunit ribosomal RNA", at positions 28 to 507 of the family's 1533-position model. The record is from RNAcentral.
GACGAACGCUGGCGGCGUGCUUAACACAUGCAAGUCGAACGGAAAGGCCCUGCUUUUGUGGGGUGCUCGAGUGGCGAACGGGUGAGUAACACGUGAGUAACCUGCCCUUGACUUUGGGAUAACUUCAGGAAACUGGGGCUAAUACCGGAUAGGAGCUCCUGCUGCAUGGUGGGGGUUGGAAAGUUUCGGCGGUUGGGGAUGGACUCGCGGCUUAUCAGCUUGUUGGUGGGGUAGUGGCUUACCAAGGCUUUGACGGGUAGCCGGCCUGAGAGGGUGACCGGCCACAUUGGGACUGAGAUACGGCCCAGACUCCUACGGGAGGCAGCAGUGGGGAAUAUUGCACAAUGGGCGGAAGCCUGAUGCAGCAACGCCGCGUGCGGGAUGACGGCCUUCGGGGUGUAAACCGCUUUCGCCUGUGACGAAGCGUGAGUGACGGUAAUGGGUAAAGAAGCAACGGCUAACUACGUG